This 61-nucleotide transfer RNA is filed under the name Anatkina vespertinula. RNAcentral's name for it is "tRNA-Cys". Lineage: Eukaryota; Metazoa; Arthropoda; Insecta; Hemiptera; Cicadellidae. The record is from RNAcentral.
AGUUUUAUAGUUUAAAAAAAACACUAAAUUGCAAAUUUAGGAUUGAUAUGAUCUAAGACUU